AAGCCUGCGCUGGCGGGGAGGAUGCGUCAUGACGUCAUAAAAUCCCCAUCUUUAUAUACUAGCGCUGGCCGCCAUCUCGGUCUUUUGAGGCUAGGAGUCGCCGAUCUGUAUGAAUCAUGCUGGGCACGAAUGCAGUGUGGCUUUUGAUGGCUUCUGAUGGACAGUUCUGUGUCAAAGGGGUGGAAGUGGCUGCCGAGGCCCUAAAGUUUCACACCCUCGCCGUGGGCAAAGAGGCACUAAACAGAAGUAGCUGGAAGUUGAAGGGGUGGACUUGAGUCUUAGACAUGUCUGGACCAUUUUUGGGCUUAUAGGCCACUAUCAUGGAGGCUUGCUUGGGGUACUGAGUUUGAAGACGUUUUCAUAUAAAGGUGUGAAGAGUUGGGGGCACCUUACAAAGCCUGGAACAAGGAGUUAUAAGCUAAGGGUGUUUAUGAGAGCAGCAAUCCAGUUAUGAGAGCAGCUUACCAGUUGAAAGGCACCUGAAUGGAUGCUUAUGGGAUAGAAGAUCAAAUUUCCAAUUUCAAUAAAUUUUUAUAAACCAUCUGAUCAAGAGUGCUUCUUUCAGUUUAAUGAGAUGAAGGAAGGGAAGUAGGACAUCUUUGUGGUUUGAGACCCUGUGACCUUAGUUUCAUUAGUUGACCUUUUCAUGUGUAUUUUAUAGGAUGUCUUGGGCUUGAAAAUAAUUUGCAGAGGAAUAUACUAUAGCCCUUUUGUUUAAAAUACUGUAUUUGUAUUGACUUAGAUUAGUGACAUGAUCUGGGAUUAGCUGUAUAUUUUGCAGAAAUUUUCUAGGGCUGAAUGAAAUCCCUGUCAGAAAAAUAUUUGCUGUUAAGCAUGGUUUCUUAGAAGUGUUGAUAGAUGAUAAAAAGAAGUGACUCGGUAUCUUCCCCCCCCAUACAAAUUGAAAGCAAGCCUAAAAAUCUAAUAGAUUUUAAGACUGAAGUCAGUACUGUGGUUAUACCAAUCCUUUAGAAAAUAGGUAUAUUUAGUAGUAGUGCUAAUUUUGUAAGUGACAAUUGGGAUUUUGGUCAUUACUGAAUAAUUGUAAACUAGUGGGUUGCCAGUCAAUUACUCCCUAAAUUCCUAAAGAGACCGCUUUGGCUUCUGGCAACAUAAAAGCCUUAGAUAUUCCAAAUCUGCACAUUUAGUACUUGAAGUGUGGGGGUGACAUGACACAUUCGGGUUGCAAUUUAUCUUCGGACUUAACCUACUUGAGUUUUAAGACCAAAGAUACUGCAAAUCUGGAUACAAUGUGACUUGAAAUAAACACUGGGGUCUGAUUGUGAGCUUUUGAUGGCUUUCAGAGUAUGAGAAAACUUAACCCCAGCCACACUGACAACCACACUUGUACAGGAAAGUAAAGUACGAAUUUAUUGCAGAUGGGAUUAGCUCAGUCUCUGAGAAAUUGUGGCUAGGUGCCCAAAGGUCAAUAAUGAAAUUAGGCAGCAAUCAUGGUGGUCUAUGGCUUGGAAGAUGGCCAUUAAGCUUUUGGAGAUGUAU
Molecule: long non-coding RNA, 1500 nt
Organism: Mirounga angustirostris (Northern elephant seal)
Lineage: Eukaryota; Metazoa; Chordata; Mammalia; Carnivora; Phocidae
Exons: 12
Source: RefSeq, a predicted model, not a curated record